UACGUAGGGUGCGAGCGUUGUCCGGAAUUAUUGGGCGUAAAGGGCUCGUAGGCGGUUUGUCGCGUCGGGAGUGAAAACCCAGGGCUUAACUCUGGGCUUGCUUUCGAUACGGGCAGACUAGAGGUAUGCAGGGGAGAACGGAAUUCCUGGCGUAGCGGUGAAAUGCGCAGAUAUCAGGAGGAACACCGGUGGCGAAGGCGGUUCUCUGGGCAUUACCUGACGCUGAGGAGCGAAAGCGUGGGGAGCGAACAGG
This 253-nucleotide ribosomal RNA is filed under the name uncultured bacterium. RNAcentral describes it as "partial 16S ribosomal RNA". It matches the Rfam family "Bacterial small subunit ribosomal RNA", at positions 524 to 776 of the family's 1533-position model. The record is from RNAcentral.